This 676-nucleotide ribosomal RNA is filed under the name Acinetobacter baumannii OIFC083. RNAcentral's name for it is "bacterial SSU rRNA". It matches the Rfam family "Bacterial small subunit ribosomal RNA", at positions 28 to 698 of the family's 1533-position model. The record is from RNAcentral. Lineage: Bacteria; Pseudomonadati; Pseudomonadota; Gammaproteobacteria; Moraxellales; Moraxellaceae.
AUUGAACGCUGGCGGCAGGCUUAACACAUGCAAGUCGAGCGGGGGAAGGUAGCUUGCUACCGGACCUAGCGGCGGACGGGUGAGUAAUGCUUAGGAAUCUGCCUAUUAGUGGGGGACAACAUCUCGAAAGGGAUGCUAAUACCGCAUACGUCCUACGGGAGAAAGCAGGGGAUCUUCGGACCUUGCGCUAAUAGAUGAGCCUAAGUCGGAUUAGCUAGUUGGUGGGGUAAAGGCCUACCAAGGCGACGAUCUGUAGCGGGUCUGAGAGGAUGAUCCGCCACACUGGGACUGAGACACGGCCCAGACUCCUACGGGAGGCAGCAGUGGGGAAUAUUGGACAAUGGGGGGAACCCUGAUCCAGCCAUGCCGCGUGUGUGAAGAAGGCCUUAUGGUUGUAAAGCACUUUAAGCGAGGAGGAGGCUACUUUAGUUAAUACCUAGAGAUAGUGGACGUUACUCGCAGAAUAAGCACCGGCUAACUCUGUGCCAGCAGCCGCGGUAAUACAGAGGGUGCGGGCGUUAAUCGGAUUUACUGGGCGUAAAGCGUGCGUAGGCGGCUUAUUAAGUCGGAUGUGAAAUCCCCGAGCUUAACUUGGGAAUUGCAUUCGAUACUGGUGAGCUAGAGUAUGGGAGAGGAUGGUAGAAUUCCAGGUGUAGCGGUGAAAUGCGUAGAGAUC